Molecule: ribosomal RNA, 133 nt
Filed under: Rhodococcus (subgen. Prescottella) equi
Lineage: Bacteria; Bacillati; Actinomycetota; Actinomycetes; Mycobacteriales; Nocardiaceae
Description: Rhodococcus hoagii partial 23S ribosomal RNA
Rfam family: Bacterial large subunit ribosomal RNA
Source: RNAcentral
CCUGUUCCAAGAUGAGUUUCUCACCCCCUCGAGGGGGUAAGGCCCCGGCAGACCACCGGGUUGAUAGGCCAGAACUGGAAGCACAGUAAUGUGUGGAGGUGACUGGUACUAAUAGGCCGAGGACUUACCACAA